GGGAGACACCUUUACAGAUGGAGAUUUCCUUUGCAAUUGUAAAUGUCUCUUAACAAAGGGAGUGCCCAAUUGGUUAUGCCAAGGUCAACUGUACCUGUCAAUCAGAAUGAGACAGGAGCAGGUGGAGUGGAGAGGACAAUUCUUAAGCUCCAACUGAGUUUACCUGAAAUUUUCCCAGGACAACCUUAACCCCGAGUGGAUUUUGUACACAUUGACUGUAUGGAUAUCUUCUGACACCAACAUCAGACCUAUGGAACUGGAAUCAGAGCAGCAAUAUACCUUCACCAUCAUGUCUUGGAUCACAACUACCACCUGUUUCUGUGCCACAAUUUAGUUUGCAGUGACAUCAAAAUCUCAGUAUCCCAUGACAAGGCAUCAUGUUGGCUCACCAUUUUAAUAACACACUGAUCAUAGGACCUGGAGAGAAGAAGUAGCAGGAAUAGUGUUGCC
Non-coding RNA from Equus caballus (horse), 450 nucleotides. The record is from RefSeq and is a predicted model, not a curated record. Lineage: Eukaryota; Metazoa; Chordata; Mammalia; Perissodactyla; Equidae.